RNAcentral lists this transfer RNA (41 nucleotides) under Mecomma ambulans. Its description in RNAcentral is "partial tRNA-Ile". Lineage: Eukaryota; Metazoa; Arthropoda; Insecta; Hemiptera; Miridae. The record is from RNAcentral.
UUAUUUGAUAGGAUAGAUCAUGUAUAAAUAUACUCUUAUUA